CCUACGGGAGGCUGCAGUGAGGAAUAUUGGUCAAUGGGCUGACGCCUGAACCAGCCAAGUCGCGUGAGGGAAUAAUGCCCUACGGGUUGUAAACCUCUUUUGCCGGGGAGCAACGCCGGGGACGUGUCCCCGGACUGAGAGUACCCGAAGAAAAAGCAUCGGCUAACUCCGUGCCAGCAGCCGCGGUAAUACGGAGGAUGCGAGCGUUAUCCGGAUUUAUUGGGUUUAAAGGGUGCGUAGGCGGGCUUUUAAGUCAGCGGUAAAAAUGCGGGGCUCAACCCCGCUCGGCCGUUGAAACUGGCGGUCUUGAGUGGGCGAGAAGUAUGCGGAAUGCGUGGUGUAGCGGUGAAAUGCAUAGAUAUCACGCAGAACUCCGAUUGCGAAGGCAGCCUUCCGGCGCCCUACUGACGCUGAAGCACGAAAGUGCGGGGAUCGAACAGGAUUAGAUACCCUUGUAGUC
RNAcentral lists this ribosomal RNA (460 nucleotides) under uncultured bacterium. RNAcentral's name for it is "partial 16S ribosomal RNA". It matches the Rfam family "Bacterial small subunit ribosomal RNA", at positions 338 to 795 of the family's 1533-position model. The record is from RNAcentral.